CUGUCUGUGUUUACAGGGUAACGCGGUCAUUGAGGAGGUGUCUGCAUCGACAGAAGGAGAGCUGGAAACUGAAGGAUGGUGGGUAGCAGCUGUAACACCUCGAGUGUGUGAGAAUAACAACGAGCAGCCCAGGCCGAUGCGUUUGGAUAAUGAGCCCUGUCCAGAGGAUGCUGUUCCUGGUACAACUUUGAGUGAUGACCCUGUCCACCACCCUCUGGCGCUCACAGAUAAUACUGACCUGAAGGACUGUGGGGACCCCACUAAUGUCUACGGAUCCCUGAUGGUCUGAAUGAAGGAUCAACAAUGAACUAGACUCCCACCCUGAGUGUGACGCCUCCCAGAGUCGAGCAGUUUGGAGGCCAAAGCACUUUGUAGCUGUAGCAGAGCAAUACCUCAAAUGUAGCACAGUUAUAGCACUGAGAUAUUACCCCUACCUCCUGUUCAUCUCUCCAAGUUCCUGUACCUCUGGCCUGUCACUCACUCUCUCUCCCCAUCACUACCUCACUCCCUGUGUCUCUCCCAUCACUGUGUGACUCCUUCCCCCUCACCAUCUCUCUCACUGCCUUGUUGCAUGUUUGAUCAGGGCUGCCUUCGUUUCUCUGUCUGUUGUUUGGUGAAGCUGAUGUGUGAGGGUUUGAAAUCACACAUGACCCUCCCCUCUGAGACUGGACGAUAUUUUACAGUCAGUGUGAAUUGUUACAGUUUCGUGUUGGCCCAGAUCACUGUCAUUCCCAAAAUAGAAAGAUCACAAUUAAAAUUUCAGAAAACAA
Molecule: non-coding RNA, 770 nt
Organism: Chiloscyllium plagiosum (whitespotted bambooshark)
Lineage: Eukaryota; Metazoa; Chordata; Chondrichthyes; Orectolobiformes; Hemiscylliidae
Source: RefSeq, a predicted model, not a curated record